This 115-nucleotide ribosomal RNA is filed under the name Paracoccaceae bacterium. Lineage: Bacteria; Pseudomonadati; Pseudomonadota; Alphaproteobacteria; Rhodobacterales; Paracoccaceae. The record is from RNAcentral.
UUUGGUGGUCACAGCGCGAGGUAAACUCCCGAUCCCAUCCCGAACUCGUCCGAUAAGACCCGUUGCGCCGAUGGUACUGCAGCUUAAGCUGUGGGAGAGUAGGUCACCGCCAAUC